This 512-nucleotide ribosomal RNA is filed under the name uncultured bacterium. RNAcentral's name for it is "bacterial SSU rRNA". It matches the Rfam family "Bacterial small subunit ribosomal RNA", at positions 8 to 526 of the family's 1533-position model. The record is from RNAcentral.
AGAGUUUGAUCAUGGCUCAGGACGAACGCUGGCGGCGUGCUUAACACAUGCAAGUCACGGGGGCUCGUAGCAAUACGGGCAACCGGCGAACGGGUGCGUAACACGUGAGCAACCUGCCGCGCUCUGGGGGAUAGCCGGCCCAACGGCCGGGUAAUACCGCAUACGUUCUUUGGGAGGAGUCUCCCGAAGAAGAAACCUCCGGGGGAGCGCGAGGGGCUCGCGGCCUAUCAGCUAGUUGGCGGGGUAAUGGCCCACCAAGGCAGUGACGGGUAGCUGGUCUGAGAGGAUGGCCAGCCACAUUGGGACUGAGAAACGGCCCAGACUCCUACGGGAGGCAGCAGUGGGGAAUCUUGCGCAAUGGUCGAAAGACUGACGCAGCGACGCCGCGUGUGGGAGGACGCCCUUCGGGGUGUAAACCACUGUUGCCCGGGACGAAACUCCUCUUUCGAGAGGACUGACGGUACCGGGUGAGGAAGCACCGGCUAACUCCGUGCCAGCAGCCGCGGUAAUAC